RNAcentral lists this long non-coding RNA (589 nucleotides) under Monodelphis domestica (gray short-tailed opossum). Its description in RNAcentral is "lncRNA (ENSMODG00000035004.2)". The record is from RNAcentral. Lineage: Eukaryota; Metazoa; Chordata; Mammalia; Didelphimorphia; Didelphidae.
AAAAAUACAAGGAUAGAUGUUCCAUAUAUUCUGAAGCUGAUGCUAUAUUUGUAUCUAUAAUUUUGGCAGGUGUUGAUUAAUUCAGAUCAAGUGUAUUCCAUAAGAGUUUCUAAUUUUGAUUAUGAUAUAUCCAACUGCUACAGGGGCAAGAAGCAUAAACAAUGAGAAAACUGACACAUUAAUAAAAGUACUUACUCUGGCUCCCACUUCCUAAAGACCAGAUCUCGGUUUAGACAAACUCUUUUCAUCCAAAGUGUAUUCUCUGCGUGGCCCCAUAUUCUUCAAAUUUGUUGUUCACUUCAACAAGAUGAGGCAAGGACCUGAGAGCUAUUGUCACGGACCAUCUCAUCUUUUUAUUUGUAUUUUCAAUGUCUGGCACAAUGUCUGGCACAAGAUGUGCAGCCGAUCUCUAAGCCAGGCACCAGACAUUUCCCACAUGCUGUCAGCUGCUCUUAGCCAAUGACCAAGACCUUUCAAUUCCUCUCAAGUUUAUUAAGGAGCCUCCUCCAAAGCAAGAAAAAGAACAAAGAAGCACAACUCUUCUUAAUACAUCUUUUACACCAGCCAAAGUCUAAAAUGGGUAUACACU